Molecule: ribosomal RNA, 344 nt
Filed under: uncultured bacterium
Lineage: Bacteria
Description: partial 16S ribosomal RNA
Rfam family: Bacterial small subunit ribosomal RNA
Source: RNAcentral
CCUACGGGAGGCAGCAGUGGGGGAUAUUGCACAAUGGGGGAAACCCUGAUGCAGCGACGCCGCGUGGGUGAAGAAGGGUCUAGGCGCGUAAAGCCCUGUCAGCAGGGAAGAAAAUGACGGUACCUGAAGAAGAAGGCGCGGCUAACUCCGUGCCAGCAGCCGCGGUAAUACGUAGGGGGCAAGCGUUAUCCGGAUUUACUGGUUUUAAGGGGGGCGGAGACGGCGCUGCAAGCCAGGGGUGAAAGCCCGGGGCUCAACCCCGCGACUGCUCUUGGAACUGCGUGGCUAGAGUGCAGGUGGGGCAGGCGGAAUUCCUGGUGUAGCGGUGAAAUGCUUAGAUAUCA